ACCAAAGUGCACUUAUCUUUUC
Molecule: non-coding RNA, 22 nt
Filed under: Arabidopsis thaliana (thale cress)
Lineage: Eukaryota; Viridiplantae; Streptophyta; Magnoliopsida; Brassicales; Brassicaceae
Source: RNAcentral